RNAcentral lists this ribosomal RNA (588 nucleotides) under Triticum aestivum (bread wheat). RNAcentral's name for it is "partial small subunit ribosomal RNA". The record is from RNAcentral. Lineage: Eukaryota; Viridiplantae; Streptophyta; Magnoliopsida; Poales; Poaceae.
AUGUGUUGCUACGUGGGCAAGGCCACCAAGAUCUUCCUCGGCCUCGUCACGGCGCUGCUGCUCGCCGGCCUCGUCCUCGGCUUCGGCCUGGCCCACCGGACGCUCUGGGGAGGCCAGAAGGCUGAGCCAGCCUGCCGGUGGCCGCGCUGCCAGCAGCAGCAGCCGCCGCCGCAGCCGCUCUACGGCGGCGACCCGCUCCCGGUCGCGGGCACCACCACCACCGCGCCGCCGUCCAACCCGCUCACGGAGCCGGCUGUCGCCGUGUUCCCCGGGGUUGCCUCCUCCACCGCGCACCCGCCGGCGACGGCAAGCGUGCCGAGCUUCGCGCCGCCUAGGCCCUACCCCGGGGUCGCUUCCUCCACAGCCGUGCCGCCCGCGGUGCCGAGCGUGCCGAACUUCGGGCCGCCCAGCCCGUUCCCCGGGGUCGCCUCCUCCGCCGCCGUGCCGCCCGCGGUGACUAGCGUGCCGAACUUGGGGCCGCCCAGACCAUUCGCCGGGGCUGCCUCCUCCACCGCCGUGCCGCCCGCGCCGCACUUGGGGCCGCCCACACCGUUCCCCAUCGGUCCCGGCCCGUCCUCUCAUCCAUGA